Molecule: ribosomal RNA, 460 nt
Filed under: uncultured bacterium
Lineage: Bacteria
Description: partial 16S ribosomal RNA
Rfam family: Bacterial small subunit ribosomal RNA
Source: RNAcentral
CCUACGGGAGGCAGCAGUGAGGAAUAUUGGUCAAUGGGCGUAAGCCUGAACCAGCCAAGUCGCGUGAGGGAUGAAGGUUCUAUGGAUCGUAAACCUCUUUUAUAAGGGAAUAAAGUGUGGGACGUGUCCUAUUUUGUAUGUACCUUAUGAAUAAGAAUCGGCUAAAUCCGUCCCAGCAGCCGCGGUAAUACGGAGGAUCCGAGCGUUAUCCGGAUUUAUUGGGUUUAAAGGGUGCGUAGGCGGCCUUUUAAGGUAGCGGUGAAAGUCUGUGGGCAAACCAUAGAAUUGCCGUUGAAACUGGGGGGCUAGAGUAUGUUUGAGGCAGGCGGAAUGCGUGGUGUAGCGGUGAAAUGCAUAGAUAUCACGCAGAACCCCGAUUGCGAAGGCAGCCUGCCAAGCCAUGACUGACGCUGAUGCACGAAAGCGUGGGUAUCAAACAGGAUUAGAUACCCCAGUAGUC